AAUCAACGCUGGCGGCGUGCCUCAGACAUGCAAGUCGAACGCGAAAGUCCCCUUCGGGGGAUGAGUAGAGUGGCGCACGGGUGAGUAACACGUAGGUAAUCUACCUUCGGGUGGGGAAUAACAACCGGAAACGGUUGCUAAUACCGCAUAAUGCAGCGGCACCUAAUGGUGACAGUUGUCAAAGCGGGGGAUCGCAAGACCUCGCGCCUGAAGAGGAGCCUGCGGCGGAUUAGCUAGUUGGCAGGGUAACGGCCUACCAAGGCGACGAUCCGUAGCCGGCCUGAGAGGGCGGUCGGCCACACUGACACUGACAUACGGGUCAGACUCCUACGGGAGGCAGCAGUCGGGAAUUUGGGCAAUGGGCGAAAGCCUGACCCAGCAACGCCGCGUGAAGGAUGAAAUCCCUCGGGAUGUAAACUUCGCAAGAACGGGGAGAAUAAGCCGGUGUCAACACCACCGGCGAUGACGGUACCGUUUGUAAGCUCCGGCUAACUCCGUGCCAGCAGCCGCGGUAA
RNAcentral lists this ribosomal RNA (515 nucleotides) under uncultured bacterium. RNAcentral describes it as "bacterial SSU rRNA". It matches the Rfam family "Bacterial small subunit ribosomal RNA", at positions 32 to 523 of the family's 1533-position model. The record is from RNAcentral.